This is a long non-coding RNA of Scatophagus argus, 1113 nucleotides long. RefSeq lists it as uncharacterized. The transcript has 3 exons. Lineage: Eukaryota; Metazoa; Chordata; Actinopteri; Scatophagidae. The record is from RefSeq and is a predicted model, not a curated record.
UCCCCUUCCUCUUGUAUAAAUAGUCCUUGUCUCCCUUUGUCUUGUGUCAGGUUGUUGCUUGCUUUUGCUUCAUGCCAGGAAUUGGGUUUUUUUUGUCAUAGAUUUUCUAGAUCCUGUUGCCACAUGGGUGUGUUGAGUCUCUGUCAGGGAUCCAACCAGGAGCUGAGCUGGGCAUUCUUGUUCUCCCUCACCUGCCUGUCCAUGCACCGGGUUCGAAUUCUCCAAUCAACCACCUUCAAUCAGCUGCCUUUUUAAAGACCUGUUUCUCCUCUCCACCUUCGCCAGAUUGUCCUGCUGCCUUAGUACUCUGCUUAGGUUCACCUGCCCAUGCUAUGCCCCUGUGUUUCUCUCUGCCUGCUUGUAUGUGAACGUAUCCUGGCUCAGCAGCUGAGGAUUCCUGCUAAAGUAAACCGAGACCACUUGCACUCACCCGCCAUCCCCCUGAAUCAACUUAGUCAGAAUGCCUUGUUAGUUAGAGUGAAUUCUUAUCUUCUGUGUGAAGACCUCUUUAACUUUUAGUAGAGCUUUGUGUUUAAUCUCAUUCCUGGUUUCUGUAUGCCCUAUUUUUGGGGUCCCCCUUUUGAAAAAACUUAACAUGAGAUGUGAAUCUGAAAACACAAAAUCAACUGCAUGCAACUGAAAAAAACAAGACCUCAAAUAUUGAAAUAUAUAUGAAAGUGAAAGGAGAGAACAGAUAAUUUAUUCUGAAGAAUUUCUGACCUGAAUAAAUAUUAUAUUUAAACUGGAAAAAGCUUUUCCUACACUUAUUUUUACUUUGAGUACAAUGUUGUAUUUUUAUAAAGCUCAAAAUCUAAUUUUAAACUGUCAACUCAAAUCUUGUUUUCUAGAUUAAUGAAACUUUUGGCCCCGAUUUGGCUCCAUAAAUUAUCACCUUUCAAGAUAUUAUUAAUUGCAAGCAUAAGAAUUGGAUGAACCUCUGGCCAAAAUUUCUCAUAAAAUGUGAACCCAUCUGGACCUGCGCGUUUCUCAUUAGGCAGUUCAGACUACCUCAGGUAUGCAAUCUGCAUUUGGAAAGGAACAGUCCUCUUCCAUGUUGCGGUAGGGAGCAAUGCCAGUAAUGUAUGUAUCUUAAUGUAUCAUUGAUAAUUAAAG